GAACGACUCUGGUUUACUCGGUCUCCUUAAUUUUCUCUCCAUUAAUUGUGCUUAAGUAAUGUCCUUCUGUAGAAAUCUCACUCAAAUUCUUAAUUUUGUUUGUUCUAUUAUUGUUACGUUCUUGUGAUUGGGUUUAUUGAUUUGUGAACAGGGAAGGCGAAGGAAAAAUAGAGAUUGAGAAAUUUGGGUUUCUUGGUUUGUGGAGAGGGAAAGAGAAUUUUGCACAGAGAGAAUUUGGGUAUUGUUUGUGGAGAAAUAGGAUAGGGGGAUUUUUGGCAGGGGACAGGGAAGGAGAGAGAG
This 300-nucleotide unclassified non-coding RNA is filed under the name Hevea brasiliensis (rubber tree). The record is from RNAcentral. Lineage: Eukaryota; Viridiplantae; Streptophyta; Magnoliopsida; Malpighiales; Euphorbiaceae.